GCUUACGGCCAUACCACCUUAGGCACGCCCGAUCUCGUCUGAUCUCGGAAGCUAAGCAGGGUGUGGCCUGGUUAGUACUUGGAGGGGUGACCGCCUGGGAAUACCAGGUGCUGUAAGCA
Molecule: ribosomal RNA, 119 nt
Organism: Gadus morhua (Atlantic cod)
Lineage: Eukaryota; Metazoa; Chordata; Actinopteri; Gadiformes; Gadidae
Source: Ensembl